Molecule: non-coding RNA, 3440 nt
Organism: Anas platyrhynchos (mallard)
Lineage: Eukaryota; Metazoa; Chordata; Aves; Anseriformes; Anatidae
Source: RefSeq, a predicted model, not a curated record
UUUUUGGACCUUUCUCAUAAAGACUCAAAAGAGGCAGAGACAGGAAAAUACAUUGUGUAACUAAUUGUUCUUGAGCGGUAUAUGAAGAUUCACAGCCUGCAAAUGAGAAGAGCAUCCGGCUCAGGAACUGGGAGGCUGCCCGGCCACCCCUGUGGCCACCUCUCCUCACACCUCGUCCCCCCGCCGUCCUCCUGCUGCCACCGCCAGCACAGCGAGGACAUGGGGGGCCGGAGAGGUCUCGGUGGUUGUGGAUCGGGGCUGUCCCCCUCCGGGGUGCCCUUCUGCACCUCCCCGGGGGCUCGGCCAAGCCCUGCUCGUUGCGGUGGGCUCCUGAGACAGGGCACCGCCGCGGGACAGUGCUUCGCUGGGAGGACGGGGGCUCUGGGCUCUCGUGGUGUCUGCUACCUGGGCAUCGCUGCCAUCACAUGGGGCAUGGUGACGCAGGUGGAGGCCUGGACGUACAGCUACAGCGACCCAGGGCUCUACUCGUGGGAGCAGGCCAGGAACUACUGCCGGACCUUCUUCACCGACCUGGUGGCCAUCCAGAACAAGGAGGAGAUCGCCUACCUCAACGCCACCCUGCCCUUCCUCAGGCAGUACUACUGGAUCGGCAUCCGCAAGCAGGGCGGCGUCUGGACCUGGGUGGGCACCAACAAGGUGCUGACCAAGGAGGCGGAGAACUGGGCCAGGGGGGAGCCCAACAACCGCCGCUCCAACCAGGACUGCGUGGAGAUCUACAUCAAGCGGCAGCAGGAGGCGGGCAAGUGGAACGACGAGCCCUGCAACAAGAAGAAGACGGCGCUGUGCUACAAAGCCUCCUGCCAGGCCUCCACCUGCCGCCCGCACGGGGAGUGUGUGGAGGUCAUCAAGAGCUACAGGUGCGAGUGCCACCCCGGUUUUGAAGGGGACGAUUGCAGUAUUGCCGUGCAGUGCCCCACGCUCGAUGCCCAAGGAGCACUCAUGACCUGCAGCCAUCCCUUUGGGGACUUCCGAUACAACUCCACCUGCGAUUUCGGGUGCCCGGAGGGGUUCGAGCGGCGAGGUGAGGGCACGCUGCGGUGCCUGGCUUCACGGCAGUGGUCAGCGGAGACCCCCACGUGUGCAGCCGUUGCCUGCCCCGAGCUGGCGGCUCCCGAAAGCGGCCGGGUCAAUUGCUCCCACCCACACGGAGCCUCUGCCUUCAGCUCCACGUGUGACUUCUCCUGCCAGGAGGGCUUUGAGGUGACGGGACCGGAGAGACUGUGGUGCACGGCUGAGGGGGCUUGGUCGGGGGCUCCCCCGCACUGCAAAGCCAUCACCUGCCCAGUGCUCAGGGCUCCAGAGCACGGAGAGAUGAGCUGCUCCCACCUUCAUGACAACUUCAGCUUCAGUUCCACAUGUGCCUUCUCCUGCCAGCCAGGGUUUGAGCUCAUGGGGCCAGAAAGCAUUGAAUGCACAGCCAUGGGGACCUGGUCUGGGGACACCCCACAGUGCAAAGCCAUCACCUGCCCGGUGCUCAGGGCUCCAGAGCACGGAGAGAUGAGCUGCUCCCACCUUCAUGACAACUUCAGCUUCAGUUCCACAUGUGCCUUCUCCUGCCACCCAGGGUUUGAGCUCAUAGGGCCAGAAAGCAGUGCAUGCACAGCCAUGGGGACCUGGUCUGGGGACAACCCACAAUGCAAAGCCAUCACCUGCCCAGUGCUCAGGGCUCCAGAGCAUGGAGAGAUGAACUGCUCCCACCUUCACGAGAACUUCAGCUUCAGUUCCACGUGUGCAUUUUCCUGCCAGCCAGGGUUUGAGCGCAUGGGGCCAGAGAGCCGUGAGUGCACAGCCAUGGGGACCUGGUCUGGGGAUGCCCCACAAUGCAAAGCCAUCACCUGCCCAGUGCUCAGGGCUCCAGAUCAUGGAGAGAUGAGCUGCUCCCACCUUCACGGGAACUUCAGCUUCAGUUCCACGUGUGCAUUUUCGUGCCAGCCAGGGUUUGAGCUCAUAGGGCCAGAGAGCCGUGAGUGCACAGCCAUGGGAACCUGGUCCGGGGAAACCCCACAAUGCAAAGCCAUCACCUGCCCGAUGCGCAGAGCUCCAGAGCAUGGAGAGAUGAACUGCUCCCACCUACAUGACAACUUCAGCUUCAAUUCCACGUGUGCCUUCUCCUGCCAGCCAGGGUUUGAGCUCAUAGGGCCAGAAAGCAGUGCAUGCACAGCCAUGGGGACCUGGUCUGGGGACACCCCACAGUGCAAAGCCAUCACCUGUCCAGUGCUCAGGGCUCCAGAGCAUGGAAGGAUGAGCUGCUCCCACCUUCAUGACAACUUCAGCUUCAAUUCCACGUGUGCAUUCUCCUGCCAGCCAGGGUUUGAGCUCAUAGGGCCAGAGAGCCAUGAGUGCACAGCCAUGGGGACCUGGUCCGGAGACAUCCCACAAUGCAAAGCCAUCACCUGCCCGGUGCUCAGGGCUCCAGAGCAUGGAGAGAUGAACUGCUCCCACCUUCACGAGAACUUCAGCUUCAGUUCCACAUGUGCAUUCUCCUGCCAGCCAGGGUUUGAGCUCAUAGGGCCAGCGAGCCGUGACUGCACAGCCAUGGGGACCUGGUCCAGAGACACCCCACAGUGCAAAGCCAUCACCUGCCCAAUGCUCAGGGCUCCAGAACAUGGAAGGAUGAACUGCUCCCAUCUCUAUGGGAGCUUCACCUUCACCUCCACGUGUGCCUUCUCCUGCCAGCCAGGGUUUGAGCUGAAAGGGUCACAGAGCCGUGCAUGCAUGGCCAUGAGAACCUGGACUGGGGACACCCCACGAUGCAGAGCCAUCAGCUGCCCAGUGCUGGAGCCCCCGAGCCGAGGCCACCUGAACUGCUCUCACCCCCACGGCAAUUUCACGUACAACUCCACCUGCGCCUUUUCCUGUGAGGAUGGAUUUGUCCGGAUGGGAGCAAGGCUGCUCAGGUGUCAGGCCACAGGGAACUGGACUGGCCAUUCCCCUGUCUGCAAAGAGGAUGCUGCCGCCUUCUUAAAGCAAGUCCUGGUUUACACCAGCAGCAGUGCUCUGGUGGUAGCUGGCGUGGUGCUCUCUGGGACGCUCCUUGCCUUGCUCGCCAAACGGCUCAGUGACAGAGAGGAGAAGAAGAAGCUCCUGAACCCCACCAGCGACCUCGGAUCACCAGGCAUCUUCACCAACGCAGCCUACGACUCCAACUUGUGAGGUGCGUGCCGGCACGCUGCCACCUCACAGCACGCUGGCGACAUCCCUUGCUCUGAACAAGCUGUGUAUGGAAAACCUACGAGCUUGCAGGCUCCUCCACCUGAAGCAGGGAAUGCCGUGCUGUGAGGGCCAUCACCCCGCUGCCCCAUGUGUGUGGAGGAGACCCCAGAGCUCAGCCACGGACCUUCAGCUUGUGUGGGAAAGGGGGGAAGCCCCCGGCUGGGUUUUGGGGGGCAAUAAAUAAAUAAAUGUGUGUGUGUGUUUGA